UGUGCGUCCUGCUGUCAAACUUCAGACGAGCCGGUAGCAAAGCCCGUGGUGAGCGUGUACCCGGCAGGACCCGGAGCCCACCUUGGGGGGAAGAGCUCCCUGCUGUGUCUGGCCUCAGCCAUGUUUCCUCCUCUGGUCCGGUUCUCCUGGAAAAGACGAAGGGAGAAUGGUCCUCUGGAGGAGCUGCCCCCUGCUGAGGGAGAGCAGCUGGAGAUCAGAGAGUCGGGACGCGCCGCCGCCGCCAUCUUGCUGAUCCAUCAGCAAGAGAGUGGCAAGUAUAAUUACCUCUGCUACGUCCACCAUGAGGGGGGGACAGUGGCGGCCCAAACAGAACAAGAGGUUUCUACUCUUCCAGCAGCUUCUGUCCCGUCUCAGUACCAAGUGAAGUUGUUCUGUCUGCUGUACGCACAGCUGAUAGUGAAGAGUCUGGUGUACUGCUGUGGACUCUCCCUGCUGAUGAUCCCCAGAAACAAGAGACCGUCCACCAACUGCGAAGGUGCCGACUGAUUUCUGCUUGCCCUUUUUUCACCACUGAAUCUCAUCAGUUCAUCAUUUAUACUUUGAUCAGUAUUCACGAAUAUCAAUUAUUAUUUGUGUUAGUUUUCAUCUUAACAAUA
This is a non-coding RNA of Etheostoma spectabile (orangethroat darter), 617 nucleotides long. The record is from the annotation of a RefSeq genome assembly. NCBI's taxonomy places the organism in Eukaryota, Metazoa, Chordata, Actinopteri, Perciformes, Percidae.